Erinaceus europaeus (western European hedgehog) is the source of this 2475-nucleotide RNA transcript. It is a transcript of the gene named LYL1 basic helix-loop-helix family member, with no coding region annotated. The record is from RefSeq and is a predicted model, not a curated record. NCBI's taxonomy places the organism in Eukaryota, Metazoa, Chordata, Mammalia, Eulipotyphla, Erinaceidae. The transcript is spliced from 6 exons.
GCCCCAGUGCGGCAGGGGGACCCCAUCUGAAGCUGGGGCCCACGUCCUGGCCUGGGACCCCGGGGCCCGUGAGGGUCGGGUCGGACUCAGUGACCUCAGGAACCAGCUCGCGGUGAAACGGCCCGGGGUGGCCUGGGGUCACCUACCGGAACCUUCCACCAGCACCACAUUCCCCGACUGCCAGCACUUCCGAAGGCCACAAGAUCACCGAGCAUCCAGCACCCCAAGGCCGGCAGGACCAGAGGGAGGGCGAGCCCUCCUUCAGGGCCCAUGUGUCCCCCCCAGGCCCCGGGAGAGCCGGGCCCCAUGACGGACAAUGCCGGGGACCCCCGCAGCCCCGCAUCCCCCCAGCCCCCCUCGCCGUCACCGCCGGGGCACUCCUGGAUGGAUGAAGGGGGCCACCCCAGAAGAGGAGGUGCCUCGGCCCCCAGGCUGCCCCCCGGGGUGCCCGUGAUCAGCCUGGCCCACAGCCGUCCCCCGGUGACUGCGCUGAGCCUCCUGAGGGGGCCCCUGCUGCCUCUGCCCCCCCUGGCCCUGCAUGGCCCCCCUCACACCUUCCUCAACAGUCUCUGCAUCGGGCCGGUGGGUGCCUUCAACCUGUUCCCCAGCGGCGGCCGGCUGAAACGGAGGCCCAGCCUGGGGGAGCCGGAGCUGACCGAGGGCCAUCACCAGCCCCAGAAGGUGGCCCGUCGGGUGUUCACCAACAGCCGGGAGCGCUGGCGCCAGCAGAACGUGAACGGGGCCUUCGCCGAGCUGCGGAAGCUGCUGCCCACUCACCCGCCCGACCGCAAGCUGAGCAAGAACGAGGUGCUGCGGCUGGCGCUGCGGUACAUCGCCUUCCUGCUGGGGCUGCUGCGGGACCAGGCCCAGGCCGCGCCCCCCGACGGCGCCCUCAAGGCCGAGCCGGGGGCCCUGAGCCCCGGGGUGCGGUGACCCCGCCGCCGCCCACCGGGAGAGGACGCCAGGACCCCAGCCCGGCAGCCUUUGGACAAAGGGGCCCCCCAGAAGCCCAGCCCUCUGACAAUGAGGCACCCCCAAAACCUCAGCCGUCCAGCAAAGGACACCCCCAGGACCCAGCCCUCUGACAACGGGCACCCCCAAAACCUCAGCUGUCCAGCAAAGGGCACCCCCAGAACCUCAGCCGUCCAGCAAAGGGCACCCCCAGAACCCAGCCCUCUGACAACGGGCACUCCCAAAACCUCAGCCGUCCAGCAAAGGGCACCCCCCAGAACCCAGCCCUCUGGCAAAGGGCACCCCCAAAACCUCAGCCAUCCAGCAAAGGACACCCCCAGGACCCCAGCCCUCUGACAAUGAAUGUCCCCUUGCCCUCUGACAAUGGGCACUCCCAAAACCUCAGCCAUCCAGCAAAGGGCACCCCCAGAACCUCAGCCGUCCAGCAAAGGGCACCCCCAGAACCUCAGCCAUCCAGCAAAGGGCACCCCUAUAACCCAGCCCUCUGGCAAGGGGCACCCCAAAACCUCAGCCAUCCAGCAAAAGGCACCCCCAGAACCCCAGCCCUCUGACAAUGAGUGUCCCCCUGCCCUCUGACAACGGGCACCCCCAAAACCUCAGCCGUCCAGCAAAAGGCACCCCCAGAACCCCAGCCCUCUGACAAUGGGUGUCCAGGAUGGAUAUGCCAGUGGCUCCCCAAACCCUGUGGCCCCCCACUUCCUUCACCCCCCCACUGCUGUCUGAGGAGCACCCCCAACAGGAGAGACAGAUAACGAACACUGGCAUAGUGUCCCAUAGCACCCCCAGCCCCCUCCUCAUGGCGCCCCUCGUCUCUCUCAGAGAGGAAGUCCCUAAACUACAGAGCUGAGCAGCCAUGAUCCCCCCCUCACCGGCUGAGGGUAUCCAAGAAACAGAUGGACACUGGGGAUCCCCCCUCCCUCCCUCGAGGGGACACCCCCUAAGUACCAGAACUGAACGGCCCGUGCCCCCCACCGCCCCCCCAUCUGGGGUGCUCAAAGAGCUCCCAUCCCCCCAAAUAAAGGAGAAAGACACAGAAUAAUGGACAGUGGGGACCCCCCUUCCCCAAAUCCUUCUAACUGGGGGUGGGGAUGACGCCCACGGACAGGUUCCAGACCACACUCACUUUUUUUUUUUUUAAUUUUUUUUUUGCUUUAUUUUUAUUUUUUUGUUCUGUUUUUUAAUUUUUUUUUUUGUUUUCACAUACACAUUAGCCAUUCAAUGGAGAAGCCGGAGAGAGAGAGAAAGAGAGAGAGAGAGAAAGAGAGAGAGAGAGAUAGAAGUCAGGCAAAGAUGGUGGAGGGAGGGGUUUGAGGGGAUUUGGGGGGGGGAGGAAGGAAGGACAGACUCACUGCCUACUUCUUCCAGGACUCCGAGGACCCAGACAGAGAAACUGCACAGCAAACUACCCUUGAUUCUGAAUGCUUCUCAGUGCAGACUGGGAAGUGGAGAGAUAGAUAAGAGGGGAGGGGGAGGGCAGACCAGGCUGGAAGUGGAGGUGUAGAG